This 62-nucleotide transfer RNA is filed under the name Nilaparvata muiri. Its description in RNAcentral is "tRNA-Cys". Lineage: Eukaryota; Metazoa; Arthropoda; Insecta; Hemiptera; Delphacidae. The record is from RNAcentral.
AUCUUAUAUUCAACGAUGAUUUUAAAUUGCAAAUUUAAAGGUGAAUAUGUUUCUAAGGUUUU